RNAcentral lists this ribosomal RNA (496 nucleotides) under uncultured bacterium. RNAcentral's name for it is "partial 16S ribosomal RNA". It matches the Rfam family "Bacterial small subunit ribosomal RNA", at positions 28 to 506 of the family's 1533-position model. The record is from RNAcentral.
GAUGAACGCUGGCGGCGUGCCUAAUACAUGCAAGUCGAGCGAACAGACGAGGAGCUUGCUCCUCUGACGUUAGCGGCGGACGGGUGAGUAACACGUGGAUAACCUACCUAUAAGACUGGGAUAACUUCGGGAAACCGGAGCUAAUACCGGAUAAUAUAUUGAACCGCAUGGUUCAAUAGUGAAAGACGGUUUUGCUGUCACUUAUAGAUGGAUCCGCGCCGCAUUAGCUAGUUGGUAAGGUAACGGCUUACCAAGGCAACGAUGCGUAGCCGACCUGAGAGGGUGAUCGGCCACACUGGAACUGAGACACGGUCCAGACUCCGACGGGAGGCAGCAGGAGGGAAUCUUCCGCAAUGGGCGAAAGCCUGACGGAGCAACGCCGCGUGAGUGAUGAAGGUCUUCGGAUCGUAAAACGCUGUUAUUAGGGAAGAACAAAUGUGUAAGUAACGAUGCACGUCUUGACGGUACCUAAGCAGAAAGCCACGGCUAACUACGU